CUACAACUAUCUCAAAGGAGGAUGGAGCCAGGAGGUGGCUGGUCUCUGCUCCCAAGUAACAAGUGACAGGACAAGAGGAAACAGCCUCAAGCUGCACCAGGGGAGGUUUAGACUGGAGAUUAGGAACAGUUUCUUCCCGGAGAGGGUGUUCAGGCAUUGGAACAGGCUGCCCAGGGCAGUGGUGGAGUCACCGUCCCUGGAAGUGUUCACAAACUGUACGAGGUCCUCAGCGCCAUGGUUUAGUGGUGGCCUUGGCAGUGCUGGGGAACGGUUGGACUUGGUGAUCUCAAAGGUCUUUUCCAACCUGGUUGAAUCU
Molecule: long non-coding RNA, 316 nt
Organism: Pezoporus occidentalis (night parrot)
Lineage: Eukaryota; Metazoa; Chordata; Aves; Psittaciformes; Psittacidae
Exons: 3
Source: RefSeq, a predicted model, not a curated record